RNAcentral lists this ribosomal RNA (429 nucleotides) under Pseudomonadota bacterium. RNAcentral describes it as "Proteobacteria bacterium partial 16S ribosomal RNA". It matches the Rfam family "Bacterial small subunit ribosomal RNA", at positions 355 to 776 of the family's 1533-position model. The record is from RNAcentral. Lineage: Bacteria; Pseudomonadati; Pseudomonadota.
UGGGGAAUAUUGGACAAUGGGCGAAAGCCUGAUCCAGCCAUGCCGCGUGUGUGAAGAAGGUCUUCGGAUUGUAACGCACUUUAAGUUGGGAGGAAGGGCAGUAAGCGAAUACCUUGCUGUUUUGACGUUACCGACAGAAUAAGCACCGGCUAACUCUGUGCCAGCAGCCGUGGUAAUACCGAGGGUGCAAGCGGUAAUCGGAAUUACUGGGCGUAAAGCGCGCGUAGGUGGUUCGUUAAGUUGAAUGGGAAAGCCCCGGGCUCAACCUGGGAACUGCAUCCAAAGCUGGCGAGCUAGAGUGGGGCAGAGGGUGGUGGAAUUUCCUGUGUAGCGGGGAAAUGCGUAGGUAUAGGAAGGAACACCAGUGGCGAAGGCGACCACCUGGGCUCAUACUGACACUGAGGUACGAAAGAAUGGGGAGCAAACAGG